RNAcentral lists this transfer RNA (72 nucleotides) under Therioaphis tenera. RNAcentral describes it as "tRNA-Asp". The record is from RNAcentral. Lineage: Eukaryota; Metazoa; Arthropoda; Insecta; Hemiptera; Aphididae.
AAGAAAUUAGUUAAAUGUAAUUAUAACAUUAAUUUGUCAAAUUAAAAUCAUAUUUUUUAAAUAUAUUUCUUA